UCUACACUCAGAGACACGAACAGAACAUCGGGGGAGGCCACAGUGAAGGGGGCUGUAUCGUACAUGUAGAUUUGAUUGUUUUUACUGACAGAGCUUCCGAGAGCUGGACUACGUUGUGUCUCUUCACCGUCUGACAACUACAUGCAAACGCUGUAGCUCAAAACUUGUGCUGAGGAGACAACAGCAGACAGCACUGCACCGCCAGAGCAAGACAUCUCGGGGGAGACCUGUGUGUGCAGACACUGUGGACCCGACCCCCCCCCCGGCCACCCUGUGUUAGUUUUGUCAACACAUAGCAAGGCUUGGAAGCUUAUCUCUCAGAAACACAAGCUCUCCAAUGUGGGUCACUUCUUUGGGCUCUGACAGGGACAUGGCUCUCAACGACCACUACAAACAAUCAUUAAUUAAUGUGGCAAGGAUCCGGAUGUUCAAAUGCUUUUGAUUACCCCCUCCCCCCCUUUUGCAGGGGACCCUUGGUGGGUGAUGCACUUUUCCGUUUCAAUUAAAAUCAAGGUUGAGUCACAGCGAAUCAGAAAAUGUUGCCGUUAUGCAGAUUAGCCAGCAGGUUCUUAGCAAGGAUUGAGAGGUCCCUGUGUGAUUUGGUUCAUAAGGGAGAACACUGCCACGCUGCUCCACCCACCCCCAAGAGGAACCAUGCAGAUACUGGAUCAAGUCCCGCAGGACAAUGAGGAGCCAAUUUGGGGCAGCGCUGGCUCUUUUAAAUUACAAACAGCAAAGAGAGAGGCUUGAAUUUUGUGCAGCAGCAGAGCAAAAGUUCCAACUUCUAGACGAACAAACUCAAAGUAAAGCAGCGUUUUCAUUUGGAUCACAGCGGUGCUCGCUUCACUGCCAGGAGGGAGAAAUUACUUUACCUCAGUGCGCGCUUCAUAUGUAUGAGUCCAAGCGUUAUCAGAUCAGCCUCGCAACAGGUGCGAUAAAAUGUCACCCACCACCCAAGAUGGAAUAAGGCAGGAAACACACAUAAGCAAAGCAGACAACACAGGAGAAAGUAGAUUUUAAUUAGUUCUAUUCCUAUAAGCUAGUAGAAGCUGUUAGGUCUGCAAAUAAUCAUUUGUUCUCUGCUUUUAUAGAUAGCUUUUAUUAUAUAGCCUGGGUUCAGCUGUCCUUCAGUAAGUCUUUCAACACAAGCAAAUGAGGGUAGCAGGGUAGCUUAAAGGAAAAAUCCAUCCACAGCAAUGCACAUCAAUCCAUGAUGUUUGUACCAUGUUCAAGGGCUUAUUUGUCAUUGCACGUUGAUUAACAUUUUCGAGAUUCACAUUCGCUUUUAUGAAUGUCCUUUCAUUUUCUUUGCACACAAGGCCUUGACUUGACUAGAAAAUUAAUAUCCAGCAAAAUGCUUUCAUAUAGUGUAACACCACAAGUUCGUGAAGAGUAAUUACAGUAGCUUUUGCUGGCAGACACGGGGAAAAAAAGUCAGUUUUUCAUCUUAAUCCAAAACACACGCGGCUGCAGUAAACUGUAAUUUGUCUUGUGGCUGUGACUGACAACACCGAAACGGCGAUUCUGAGAUUGACACCAAAACCUGCUGAGUUAUUUCCAAUAUGAAUCAUCACUGGAGCUGCUGCAGGCAUCCCAGUAUGGGGUCAUCUUUUUCCAUGUUUGAUAAUGUCACCUCGGAAUUAACUUUCAUACGCAACAGCAGAUCGGAGCCAGACAGCUCAUGCAUUCAUCACCUGUACUGUUGCAGUGUUUUGGUGUGCCUUUUUCUAUACACUAUACAGAACCCAUGACGCAAUUUCUAAAAGCAGAUUGUGAGCCGCUGCAGUAGUAUUAUGCUUCUUUAUCUCCUUUGAAACUCCCAUGGCGGCAGCAGCAGCAGCAGCAGAAGAAGAAGCAGCUUGGGAUUAUUUAAGACAUUGCAUCAGACCCAAACAGCUACUUGUUAUUCAUUUCUUAAUUAUAUAUUUUAGUGCCUACGUUCAUUAGAGAGUAGUUGAGGCUGGUGACAAGCAUACAGAUGACUCAUACUUUGGAUAACGCAUUCAACAUACUUUAUACUUUUCAUACUCCUUCCUUGUUUGGCCUUUCUCUUUUUUUCUUCUUUUUUAAAGUGGAGCUGACAUUGUAAUUAUCGUGCAUCACUGAUGACUCUUCAGGUGAUUGCAAAAUCAUUAAGACUAUACACCGGCAGAUGUUUGGGUCUAAUUGCCCUAUUAGGAGGGAGGGUGGAGGGAAGCUGGGGUUUGAUGUUUGAAUAAACCUGCAGUGUGACCAAUCCUCAGCUGACAUGAUUAGAACCGUGCACCCAG
Molecule: long non-coding RNA, 2270 nt
Organism: Oreochromis niloticus (Nile tilapia)
Lineage: Eukaryota; Metazoa; Chordata; Actinopteri; Cichliformes; Cichlidae
Exons: 3
Source: RefSeq, a predicted model, not a curated record